AGAGUUUGAUCCUGGCUCAGGAUGAACGCUAGCGGCAGGCUUAACACAUGCAAGUCGAGGGGUAACAGGGUGCUUGCACCGCUGACGACCGGCGCACGGGUGCGUAACGCGUAUACAAUCUACCUUAUAGAGGGGGAUAGCCCAGAGAAAUUUGGAUUAAUACCCCAUAGUAUUAUAGAAUAGCAUUAUUUUAUAAUUAAACAUUUAUGGCUAUAAGAUGAGUAUGCGUUCUAUUAGUUAGUAGGUAAGGUAACGGCUUACCUAGACUUCGAUAGAUAGGGGUCCUGAGAGGGAGAUCCCCCACACUGGUACUGAGACACGGACCAGACUCCUACGGGAGGCAGCAGUGAGGAAUAUUGGACAAUGGGCGAGAGCCUGAUCCAGCCAUGCCGCGUGCAGGAAGACGGCCCUAUGGGUUGUAAACUGCUUUUAUACAGGAAGAAACACUCCCUUGCGAGGGAGCUUGACGGUACUGUACGAAUAAGGAUCGGCUAACUCCGUGCCAGCAGCCGCGGUAAUACGGAGGAUCCAAGCGUUAUCCGGAAUCAUUGGGUUUAAAGGGUCCGUAGGCGGGACAAUCAGUCAGCGGUGAAAGUCUGUGGCUCAACCAUAGAAUUGCCAUUGAUACUGUUGUUCUUGAAUACUUAUGAAGUGGUUGGAAUAUGUAGUGUAGCGGUGAAAUGCAUAGAUAUUACAUAGAACACCGAUUGCGAAGGCAGAUCACUAAUAAUUUAUUGACGCUGAUGGACGAAAGCGUAGGUAGCGAACAGGAUUAGAUACCCUGGUAGUCC
Molecule: ribosomal RNA, 791 nt
Filed under: uncultured bacterium
Lineage: Bacteria
Description: bacterial SSU rRNA
Rfam family: Bacterial small subunit ribosomal RNA
Source: RNAcentral